RNAcentral lists this ribosomal RNA (425 nucleotides) under uncultured bacterium. RNAcentral's name for it is "bacterial SSU rRNA". It matches the Rfam family "Bacterial small subunit ribosomal RNA", at positions 506 to 930 of the family's 1533-position model. The record is from RNAcentral.
AGCCAGCAGCCGCGGUAAGACGAAGGUGGCGAGCGUUGUUCGGAAUCACUGGGCAUAAAGCGCACGUAGGCGGUGACGUAAGUCGGGUGUGAAAUCCCUCGGCCUAACCGAGGAACUGCGCCCGAUACUGCGUUGCUUGAGGAUCAGAGGGGUGCAUGGAAUUUCCGGUGGAGCGGUGAAAUGCGUUGAUAUCGGAAGGAACUCCGGCGGCGAAAGCGAUGCACUGGCUGAUUUCUGACGCUGAGGUGCGAAAGCCAGGGGAGCAAACGGGAUUAGAUACCCCGGUAGUCCUGGCCGUAAACGAUGGGUACUAGGUAGGGGGAUUUCAAACGUCUCUCUGCUGGAGUGAAUAUAUUAAGUACCCCGCCUGGGAAGUACAGUCGCAAGGCUGAAACUCAAAGGAAUUGACGGGGGCCCGCACAAGG